AACGCUAGCUACAGGCUUAACACAUGCAAGUCGAGGGGCAGCAUAAAAGUAGCAAUACUUUGGUGGCGACCGGCGCACGGGUGAGUAACGCGUAUGCAACCUACCUAUCAGAGGGGAAUAACCCGGCGAAAGUCGGACUAAUACCGCAUAAAACAGGGACACCGCAUGGUGAUAUUUGUUAAAGAAAUUCGCUGAUAGAUGGGCAUGCGUUCCAUUAGGUAGUUGGUGAGGUAACGGCUCACCAAGCCGACGAUGGAUAGGGGAACUGAGAGGUUGGUCCCCCACACUGGUACUGAGACACGGACCAGACUCCUACGGGAGGCAGCAGUGAGGAAUAUUGGUCAAUGGGCGAGAGCCUGAACCAGCCAAGUCGCGUGAAGGAAGAAGGAUCUAUGGUUCGUAAGCUUCUUCUGCAGGGGAAUAAAGUGCAGGACGUGUCCUGUUUUGUAUGUACCCUGAGAAUAAGGAUCGGCUAACUCCGUGCCAGCAGCCGCGGUAAUACGGAGGAUCCGAGCGUUAUCCGGAUUUAUUGGGUUUAAAGGGUGCGUAGGUGGUUUGAUAAGUCAGCGGUGAAAGUUUGCAGCUUAACUGUAAAAAUGCCGUUGAAACUGUCGGACUUGAGUGUAAAUGAGGUAGGCGGAAUGCGUGGUGUAGCGGUGAAAUGCAUAGAUAUCACGAAGAACUCCGAUUG
RNAcentral lists this ribosomal RNA (691 nucleotides) under uncultured bacterium. RNAcentral's name for it is "bacterial SSU rRNA". It matches the Rfam family "Bacterial small subunit ribosomal RNA", at positions 32 to 715 of the family's 1533-position model. The record is from RNAcentral.